GUCUGGAAAUCCUGGCCUCAAGUGAUCUUCCUGCCUCAGCCUCCCAAAGUUCUGGGAUUACAGGUGUGAGCCACCCGCUCUGGCACUUACCUCUUUCAAAUGAGAGUAACAAUUAUUCCUGCUUCAUAGAGUCACCUCCUCUGGUCUGUCUUCCCUGACCCUGUCAUCUCAGGAAAGAAUUAACCUCCUCUUCAUUUUAGUGCUUAUCUACUUUGCUCGGACCAAUGUGUGCGUCACACUCUACUGUAAUUGUUUGUUUAUUUGUCUGCCCCACCUACUGAAUAGUUAAUAUCUCAAGGACAGGGACAAUAUCAUAGUUUUGAGUCCCUUAUCCCUAGAUCACCUGUUGGACUGAAUUUCCACAACUACCACCCACCUUUCUCGAGAGUCUCUCAAUUGUAGCUGCUUUACAUCCAUAAAGCCACCCACAUCAUCCACUUGGAUUUCAAAUCACUUGAGUAAAACUGAGGGGGUAACAUACUAGGGAUCCUACUCACCUUAGACAGGAGAACACAGAAAUGCUUCUGGUCAUGGUAUUCAAGCUUUGUCCCAUCAAACCAUACUAACCAGGCCAUCCUAAGUCUAAGGGAUGGACAAGAACUUCUGCUGAUGAUUCAGCCAAAAUAUCUAUGACAUCUUACAAGAGGUUUCCAUUUCUACACCAGAAUUUAGACAGGAGGUGAACUGUGAGUUGAUUUCCGGAAGAGUGGCUCUGAAUGGGGGGCGGGGUUGUUGGAGACAUGCUGUCGAGAGGUGUCUGAGUCUGCAGAAUUUGUGAUGAUAGCCGGUUCCUUGGAUAGUACUCUUCCUCAUCCUCUUCCAAAUCUCAUGGUCUAUUACAGCUUAGGUGUCCAGAGAUUCGUUUGUGCUGAAUAUUAUUUGGAACAUUGAAUCAAGCAUACAUCUUUUUAAUAGUUAGGGUUAUCCCUCUCUCCGGGGAUAAUUUCACCUGGGACAUUGAGGAAAUGGAGCUUGGAGUAUGUGCACUUCCUGUCAUCAAAGAGAGGAGGAGAGGGCGAGCACAUUCCGAGUGUGAGCAAGCGGAACCCCUCCUACAGAUGUGCCUUUCACUCUCAUUUCCUGCUCCAGACCAACCCUUCGGAGAUUAUUUUCAGGGAGAUCUCCCUCUUCUUGUGAGGCCAGAGACUUUUCUAGUUAUAAGGCUGGUGCAUGUGACGUGUCUGGGCAAGCAUACAGCAAAACCACAGAGAAACCAGGGAUUAAAGAAAUGAAACUGGGCAAACUAAAAAACGCCUUUUGCAGAACUUCUCUUAAGCUUGAGAUAAACACCUCCACCUUCCCUCCUCCCUCUUCAAGUUCACAGUUUAUUUUUCACUGUGUUCAGCUUGUGGCAGUAACCUCUACUAGAGAGAAGGGAAAAUGAGUUGUCCUAAUGAGGUGGCUUCCCUAAGCAGCACAAUCCUCUGAGUUCAGGACUGAAAGAAAGUGAGAAGAAUCCCUCCUGGGAUGAGAUCUUAAAAGGCAAGGAAACAACGGCCUCAGUCAUUUGAGGAUGAGUGCAUUUUCCCAGUGGGUGCAUUGAGAACCAUCUUCCUUCAGGCAUACUCUGUGGACUUGUGAUUUCGGCACUGGCCCAGUCUAAGUCACAAAGAGCAGACAACUCUGUCCCCUUUUCCAGAAAUAUCAGACUUAUGGGAAGAUUUCUUCUGCAGAUUCCUGUCUUCUUUCUCUUACCUGUAAUGAAUCAUAUCUGAAUGAUGCUUCCACCGGCCAAGUUCCAAGUGCCAUCUUUUCCUUCAAGGAAAAGGCCCAUAAGUCCUCUCAAGCGAUUCUCAGCCUUGGCAUAUGCAGUGGCUUCAUUCAGAUUCCAGCAAAAAGGAAUUGGCAGGGCAUGAAUAAGGGCAGAAGGUAAUUGAGGAGCCGGGGCUGGUUUUAAGGCAGUACAGAGCCCAGCUCCACGAGCUGAGCUGGAAGGAAUUUGCUGUCUGUGCCAGAGGUCAUAAAGAGCUGCUGAGCUAGUUGAGCUUUCUAGUGCUCAGAAGCAAAUCGAUCAGAUGAGCUGCAACUGUGGCUCUGCCACAGACCAUGAGCUAAUGCAGGCUGUACCCAGUGAGCCAGUGCCGCGGGCACUGGAGCCGGCAGUGGGAGAGGGUGAGCCGACAUAGCUAAUGCCUAACGCCAGGAGGGAGAGACAAAGGGGCCUCUUCUUUAACACUGUGAAUAGCCCCAGAGUGAAUACAGCCUUCGACAGCUGUGGUUUCAUUCUCAUCACCGCUGGGCGAGUUGGGGGUGCUAAUUGUGAAGCUGGAGAGCUGUUAAAAUCAGACCAGAUUUGUUAAAGGAGAGGAGUAAGAUGAUACUUCAGACCAGUAUCUGCAGUGGCACAGGCACAAAAGCCCUAUCUCAGGAGAAGGAAUGAAAGGAAGGCAAAAAGGCCGUGAGAAAAUGAAAGAAGCUGGUUGAUUGACCCCUCCUCUGUGUCGCCUCAGCAACUUGUCCAUAUCAUUGUUACAGCACUUACCACACAGUUGUAAGACGGUACUGCAAGCUUACUUUCCAACGUGGCUGCAUCGUUUCACAUUCCCACCAGCAGUAUGAGGUUUCCAAUUUCUCUGCAUCCUCAUCAAAACUUGUUAUUAUCUGUCUUUUUUAUUUUAGACGUUCUAGAAGGUGUGGAGUGGUAUCUCAUUGUGGUAUUGAUUUGCAUUUCCUUAAGGACUAAUGCUUUUGAACAUUUUUUCAUGUGCUUAUUGGCCAUUUGUAUAUCUUCUCUGGAGAAAUGUUUAUUCAAAUCCUUUGUCCAUUUUUUAAUUGGAUUGUCUUUUUAUUGUUGCAUGGUAUAAGUUCUCUAUAUAUUCUGGACACAAGUCUCUUAUUAGUUAUACCAUUUGCAAAUAUUUUCUCCCAUUCUGUGCGUUGUCUUUUAACCUUUCUAAUGUGUCCAUUGAAACACAAAAGUUUUUAAUUUUCACAAAGUUCAAUUUAUCUACUUUUUUCUUUUGUCACUUAUUUGUAUCAUAUCUGAGAAACCAUUACCUAAUCCAAGGUCAGGAAGGAUUACUCCUAUGUUCUCUUUUGAGAGUUUUAUUGUUUUUACUCUUAUAUUUAAGUUGAAUAUCCAUUUUGAGUUAGUUAAUUUUUGUAUAUAGUAUGACAUAGGAUCGAGAGGAUCUUGUUAAUCACUUUUUCCUGAUAUACAUCAGCUUCAAAUGUGAAGCUAUAAAUCUCCCUGUAGGUUUCCUGAAAGCCCUCAUUAUAUAAAGCAACUUCUGUGACAAAUUUGACUUGAUUAAUUAAUUAAUUAGAGACACAGUCUUGCUCUGUCCCCCAGACUGGAGUGCAGUGGUGCCAUCUUGGAUCACAGCAACCUUCAACUCUCAGGUUCAAGCAAUUCUAGUGCCUCAGCUUCCCAAGUAGCUAGGAUCACAGGUGUGCACCAGCAUGCCUGGCUACUUUUUGUAUUUUUAGUAGAGGCAUGUUUUUGCCAUGUUAGCCAGACUGGUCUCUAACUCCUGGCCUCAAGUCUUCCCCUGCCUUGGCCAACCAAAGUGCUGGGAUUACUGGUGUGAACCACCGUGCCUAGUCAUGAUAAUUUAUUGAGUGGAGUUCUGUUCAAGAUGAUGGAGGGCUAACAGCAGCAAAAGCCAGGCUCACUGGCUCUUGCCUGUAAUCCUAGCACUUUGGGAGGCCUAGUUGGUUAGGUAGAUCACCUGAGCUCAGGAGUUCGAGACCAGCCUAGCCAACAUGGCGAAACCCUGUCUCUACUAAAAAUACAAAAAUUAGCCGGGCAUAGUGGUGGAUGCUAAUAAUCCCAGCUACUCUGGAGGCUGAGACAGGAGAAUUGCUUGAACCUGGGGGCGGAGGUUGCAGUGAGCUGAGAUUGCGCCACUUCACUUCAGCCUGAGUGACAGAGUGAAAUUCCAUCUUAAAAGAAAAAAAAAAAAAAAAGGAAAGAAAGCAGCAAAGAGAAUUUUUUGGCAAGAUUAUGAGCCAAUUUUAAGAGCUUUUAUUACAUUUCAAAUGUGAUUUUAAAUUCUCAAAGUUGGACAGAUAGCAGGGAAAGAAUGGUCACAGACUUUUCCCUAAUAUUUUAAGUUGCUUCAAACCAGUUAUUAAAUCUUAUAUGUAUUUUUUAAAGACUUAUUCCACAGGGGUUUGAUUAAUUUACACAGACUUCUUCCAAAACUGUAUCUAAACCACAUUGUUGAUAUCUAAGAAACUCUAUGAGCUUCUUCAAAAGCCCUCUUAAAAAUACAACAAAAUCAUGUUAGCAACUCCAGAUUCCAAGUUGAAAUCCUCCCGCUUUAGUAUAAGAACCAUCAGUUUUGAAUGAGUCUGGAUACGAAAACCUAUUUUCCCAUUUUGAGGAGAAAAUCCCUUUUUAGAGACUCUUUCUUGAAUGGAUAUUUGUUAUAACAUAUUUGGGCUUAGGGCUAAAACCUUUGGUUUGUAAGCUGAGGUUUUCAUUUGCACUUACCAUCAACAGCGUAUAAGUUGAAAAGAAUCUCAGGUCUGGUUGCUGUCCUGAGCUACUGCAAAGAAGAAACCACUGAGAAUAAGAGCAUUUCAAUUAUUGUACAUCACAUUUGCUAUUUGCUGCCGUUAUUCUUCUAUUAAAGGAGGAUAAUCAACUGAUAUGAUAUUGUAGAUCUCAGUGCCUAGUGCAUUGUAGGUCCUCAAUAUAUGUUGAUUCUUCUUUUCUUUACAUAUUUUUGAGGUACAGAAAGAAGUUCUUAAAAUGGUUUUUAACUGUAAUCAUUUUGGAAAAUUAGCUAUGAAGAUGGAAAUUUGUGAACAAAGGAGAACUUGCAAAUGCCAUUUUACUGAGCAUGUUACUGAAUGGUUAUAUAAGGAGUAAAUAUUCUCUCAGCCUUAGUAAGUAAAUAUGAACCAAUAAGAACACAGGUGAGGACUCUUUUCCUAACCAGAAUAGAUGGCUAAGGUUUACAGGGCAAUAAAUUAGACUAUUUGUAUCCAAAGCAAUAUUGUUGUCACCACCAAUUGUAAUAAGCAUUUUUAUAAUUUAUGCCUUUAAUGUGUUUAUUAUGAAAAAGCUUCUAAGUAUAUUGCACAAGUGGUAAUCUGCUCCAGAACUGGAAAUUUGGGAGACUUGGUUUUUGGACUCAGCCUAUUCACUAUUAUUUGGUUGAUAGGUUUAUUAUUAUUAUUAUUAUUAUUUUUUAAAGGCCUGAGACAGUAGAGACUUUCUAAUAAAAUAUGCUGCAGUGAUGAAAAUUA
Molecule: long non-coding RNA, 5199 nt
Organism: Homo sapiens (human)
Lineage: Eukaryota; Metazoa; Chordata; Mammalia; Primates; Hominidae
Product: long independently transcribed non-coding RNA 3092
Exons: 2
Source: RefSeq, a predicted model, not a curated record